This 253-nucleotide ribosomal RNA is filed under the name uncultured prokaryote. RNAcentral's name for it is "partial 16S ribosomal RNA". It matches the Rfam family "Bacterial small subunit ribosomal RNA", at positions 525 to 777 of the family's 1533-position model. The record is from RNAcentral.
ACGUAGGUGGCGAGCGUUGUCCGGAUUUACUGGGCGUAAAGGGCUUGUAGGCGGUCCGUUAAGUCCGAUGUGAAAUCUCCCGGCUCAACUGGGAGAGGUCAUUGGAUACUGGCGGACUAGAGGGGGGUAGAGGAAAGCAGAAUUCCUGGUGUAGCGGUGAAAUGCGUAGAUAUCAGGAGGAAUACCAGAGGCGAAGGCGGCUACCUGGACAAUUGCUGACGCUCAGGCACGAAAGCGUGGGGAGCAAAAGGGA